Non-coding RNA from Ameiurus melas (black bullhead), 72 nucleotides. Lineage: Eukaryota; Metazoa; Chordata; Actinopteri; Siluriformes; Ictaluridae. The record is from the annotation of a GenBank genome assembly.
UCAUUGGUGGACUAGUGGCUAGCAUGCGGCGCUCUCACUAGCGUGGCCCGAGUUCAAUUCUUGGUCAGUAAA